GGUAGCUCAGUUGUAGAGCUCCUUGUCUAACAUGCAAAAAUCCCUGGGUUCAAUUCCCAGGACCA
RNAcentral lists this transfer RNA (65 nucleotides) under Heterocephalus glaber (naked mole-rat). It matches the Rfam family "tRNA". From Rfam's summary of the family: Transfer RNA (tRNA) molecules are approximately 80 nucleotides in length. Their secondary structure includes four short double-helical elements and three loops (D, anti-codon, and T loops). Lineage: Eukaryota; Metazoa; Chordata; Mammalia; Rodentia; Bathyergidae. The record is from Rfam by way of RNAcentral.